Triticum aestivum (bread wheat) is the source of this 1770-nucleotide long non-coding RNA. RefSeq lists it as uncharacterized. NCBI's taxonomy places the organism in Eukaryota, Viridiplantae, Streptophyta, Magnoliopsida, Poales, Poaceae. The transcript is spliced from 3 exons. The record is from RefSeq and is a predicted model, not a curated record.
CCUCCUCUCUCUCUCCCCAGAAAAUUGCGGCCGCUUGUGUUCUCGCCCCGCCUCGAUCCACUGUCUUUGCCCUCUGCCACGGUGCAUCGUCGCCAAUUCAAUCGACAUGUACUCCGACGACGGCUCAGACCUCGAGUUGGAGGACCUUGACAUGGUCUGCCGCUCCUAUAUGAUCACCGAAGCCGACCCGGAUGGUGUACAGGUCUCCUUCUAUCUCGCUGGCCUGCGACCACAACGGCGGCGACAACCUAUGGUUUGUCGGACGGGGAUUAGGACGUACCACAAGGUCGGAAGGACCCAUCCCUCGUUCGUAGGAGUUCAUGAUGGAGCCUCCUUGUUCAGGGAGGCCAUUAAAGAUGGGAGUUCAGGUGUACCACCACUUCAAGGUGAACAACUAACCUGGCCUUUUCAUAAUGUAUUUAUACUUCAAAAUAUGUAGAUGGAGUGUUCAUCGUAUAACCAAGAAGUAUGGCCAAGACCCGACAAACAUUUAGGAUCAUGAAAGGUGGUUUUGCACCUAGCAUUCAGGUAACAGUCACCCACAUGUUUCUCUGGUGCUACCAUAUUAUAGGAUAGCACAAUGAGCCUUGACUAUUUUGUGACGACUUCAGUUGAAUACGUGAAUCCAAAUGCUCAUAUGUGCUUUAAAAAAACUUAUACUCAUGCACAAAAAUAAAGAGGGUCUUGAUUUUUGAACUGUUGAAGACAGAUGUAGCUAUGGCCGGCUACACUAGAAGAAUUUAUUUUUGUCUACACAUAGCUCAUGAUUCAGACCUUGUAUACUUAUUCAUGUGUCACAGUUGGUCAUUGGAAUGGAUGUUGCUGCUUCUGAAUUUUACGGUGAGAAGGAUCAGACUAAUCAGCCUCGAUUUUGUUGCAUCUUCAUUGGCAGGGAACUGGCAUUGUAGGCUCGGUUAAUUUGAUAUCCUGUGGAGAAGCGAAUUAUUUUGUGCCACCCCAAAAUAUUCAUCUUUGUACCCUUUUCUCCAUUGAUCAGUGCAACGACUUAUCAGUGAACUUUACCUGAUAUUAUUUUUGCUUGAGACAUAGUUAGUCAUGGUGCUGAUCAUAUUGUAUUCCUGUGAUGAUUCAAGACUGCGAGUGUACCUAUACUUCAUGCUUCUGAUGGUGAAUCAUUUUUGUGGCAUUACAUACAACCAGUGGGAAGAGGUCAGUAGGCACUAGCAUGUUUCACUAUUUGAAUUACAAACUAGAACUUGUUCAAGUACGAAUGAGUGCAUUGAUCCAAACCGGCACACCCUUGUUCCGGCGACAGGUGAUGCAACCACAUCGUGGCCACCCAUCCGUCCUACCGAGCUCCCCGCUGAACACGAGGAUAGGGUGAGAAGAAGGACCGAAUGCAUCCAGACUGGCACACCCCUAUGUCAGCGAUAGGUGACGCGACCGCAUCGAGGCCACCCAUCCCUCCUACUAAGCUCCCCAUCGAACAAACCCCCUCUGUCGCCUCACCAUGGCAGCCGGCACACAUUCCCGCAACCGCGCGCCCACCGACGAGGGAUACCACAUUGACUCGCAGCCGCAGCCAAGGAAGCCCACCAAGGAGACCCUCCCGCGCCAAGCAUCGCCGUCCAGCCGCAAGGGCCCAACUAGAUGGGGGCCGCCCACCUCCGCCUCUGCCGCACCGCCCCCUCACCAUUGCGCCACGGCGAGAGAGGCCACCCAUGACCCGUAGCGUCAAAUGCGGAUACGGACGCGCCGGCAUGAAGCCGCAGCCGCCGUCCACCGCACCCCCUCUCGCGCGCAAGGAGA